Molecule: ribosomal RNA, 484 nt
Filed under: uncultured bacterium
Lineage: Bacteria
Description: partial 16S ribosomal RNA
Rfam family: Bacterial small subunit ribosomal RNA
Source: RNAcentral
AUUGAACGCUGGCGGCAUGCUUUACACAUGCAAGUCGAACGGCAGCACGGGCUUCGGCCUGGUGGCGAGUGGCGAACGGGUGAGUAAUAUAUCGGAACGUACCCAGAAGUGGGGGAUAACGUAGCGAAAGUUACGCUAAUACCGCAUAUGAUCUAUGGAUGAAAGCAGGGGACCGCAAGGCCUUGUGCUCCUGGAGCGGCCGAUAUCUGAUUAGCUAGUUGGUGAGGUAAAGGCUCACCAAGGCGACGAUCAGUAGCUGGUCUGAGAGGACGACCAGCCACACUGGAACUGAGACACGGUCCAGACUCCUACGGGAGGCAGCAGUGGGGAAUUUUGGACAAUGGGCGCAAGCCUGAUCCAGCAAUGCCGCGUGAGUGAAGAAGGCCUUCGGGUUGUAAAGCUCUUUUGUCAGGGAAGAAACGGUAGAGGCUAAUAUCCUUUGCUAAUGACGGUACCUGAAGAAUAAGCACCGGCUAACUACGUG